Phacochoerus africanus (Common warthog) is the source of this 572-nucleotide long non-coding RNA. RefSeq lists it as uncharacterized. The record is from RefSeq and is a predicted model, not a curated record. The transcript is spliced from 4 exons. NCBI's taxonomy places the organism in Eukaryota, Metazoa, Chordata, Mammalia, Artiodactyla, Suidae.
UCGCGGGGCGGACGGGCGCGGCUCCCGACAGGCACCGCGACGCACGCGGGCGGCUGCAGGAAAUGGCGGCGCGCGCAGGCGCCCACGGGCCGGAUGCUACCGCGCACCGCCCCGGCGCACUCCCGCGCAGGUGCGCACGGGCCGGCCUCGCGCCGAGACCGUGAGCGAGUCCGGAAUUCGCGCCCAGGCGCGCGGGGCGGGUGCACGCGUUCUGCGCGGCUGCGGACUGGGUCCCUUCUUUCUUCCCAAUGCACAACUUUCUGGCUUCCCAUAGAGGUCGUGAAGCUCUAGGACAAGGUCUGGGGCCACCAGAUGGAGUCCUGCCCCCGGUGUCAUGAUCUGCAGGUGGACGAUCUCCUCAGCUCUUGCACUGUGGCCAAAGGAGAGAGCCUGAGAGUCACUGGUCCCAGAGGAAGGGGAUGGAAGGAUCCCUUCACCCGUCUCCCAGCCUCAAUCCCAGCCUCCUUCAGACACAGCAGGGGGGCCUUCGGGGUACGAAUGGGACCACCCAGCCCCGAAGACGAUGCUGACAACCUGCCCAGAAACGAAUCCGACGAGGCACCAUGAGGUUG